CCGAAGCGAAACGAUGAUAGCUUGCUAUCAGGCGUCGAGCGGCGGACGGGUGAGUAAUACUUAGGAAUCUGCCCAGUAGUGGGGGAUAGCUCGGGGAAACUCGAAUUAAUACCGCAUACACCCUACGGGAAAAAGGGGGCGCUUGCGCUCUCGCUAUUGGAUGAGCCUAAGUCGGAUUAGCUAGUUGGUGGGGUAAAGGCCUACCAAGGCGACAAUCUGUAGCUGGUCUGAGAGGAUGAUCAGCCACACCGGGACUGAAACACGGCCCGGACUCCUACGGGAGGCAGCAGUGGGGAAUAUUGGACAAUGGGGGGAACCCUGAUCCACCCAUGCCGCGUGUGUGAAGAAGGCCUUUUGGUUGUAAAGCACUUUAAGCAGUGAAAAAGACUCUAUGGUUAAUACCCAUAGACGAUGACAUUAGCUGCAAAAUAAGCACCGGCUAACUCUGUGCCAGCAGCCGCGGUAAUACAGAGGGUGCAAGCGUUAAUCGGAAUUACUGGGCGUAAAGCGAGCGUAGGUGGCUUAAUAAGUCAGAUGUGAAAUCCCCGGGCUUAACCUGGGAACUGCAUCUGAUACUGUUAGGCUAGAGUAGGUGAGAGGGAGGUAGAAUUUCAGGUGUAGCGGUGAAAUGCGUAGAGAUCUGAAGGAAUACCGAUGGCGAAGGCCGCCUCCUGGCAUCAUACUGACACUGAGGUUCAAAGCGUGGGUAGCAACGGGAUUAGAUACCCUGGUAGUCCACGCCGUAACGAUGUCUACUAGUCGUUGGGGAACUUGAUUCUUAGUGACCCUCUACGCAAUAUUAGACCGCCUGGGGAAUACGCCCACAGGUUAUACUCAAUGAAUUGACGGGGCCCGCACAGCGGGGAACAUGUGUUUUAUUCGAUGCAAGCAAAAACCUUACUGGUCUUGAUUUUCUAAAUCCUGCAAAAUGCGGAAUGCCUUCGGGAUUAAAAUAGGGGCUGCAGGGUGUCUUCGUCCUGUCUGGAAUAUUGGUUAACUCC
Molecule: ribosomal RNA, 1001 nt
Filed under: Psychrobacter sp.
Lineage: Bacteria; Pseudomonadati; Pseudomonadota; Gammaproteobacteria; Moraxellales; Moraxellaceae
Description: bacterial SSU rRNA
Rfam family: Bacterial small subunit ribosomal RNA
Source: RNAcentral